Molecule: long non-coding RNA, 289 nt
Filed under: Setaria viridis
Lineage: Eukaryota; Viridiplantae; Streptophyta; Magnoliopsida; Poales; Poaceae
Description: long non-coding RNA (SVIR_LNC006386)
Source: RNAcentral
CUUUCAGCUGCUUUUGGGGAAAAAAUUUACCAACCUGCCGUACCGGUUCUAUUUCCAUUUAGCUCUGGGCAAAUUUUAUCGAGAACUGAGAACCGAACCGAUUAGGAACCUGGGUUAACCGAAAUAACCGAAGUAUCGGAGGCCCAGUAAGGCCCAACUUGAGUACUGCCUGACCUCGAGUAACCCUAGCUCCUGGCCUCCCUACCUGCACCGCCUCCCCACCCGCGCCGCAUGCGCCUGCCCCGGCACGCCCUCCCGGCGCCCCUGCCUGACUCCCUUCCCACUGUCC